Molecule: long non-coding RNA, 621 nt
Filed under: Homo sapiens (human)
Lineage: Eukaryota; Metazoa; Chordata; Mammalia; Primates; Hominidae
Description: non-protein coding lnc-VSTM2B-9:23
Source: RNAcentral
GGAGCAGCUCCCUUUGUUGUCUCUUCAGGCAGCUGUAGUGUCUCUUCAGCAUUUGUUGGGUUCACAACCUAUUUAAAAGCCAGCUGGUCUUCACCCUCCCAGACAAGUCAGCUCAAGGGAGGCGGUGGGGUGCGGGCCUUGGCCUGAGCCCCACCCAAGGCUGAGCUGUGGGGCAGUCAGGAGAGCAGCAGGCAAGACCAUCUCUGCAGGCGCAGUGAAGCCCUGGCCUAGAGCAGCAGGUGUGAGAGGCCAAACCUGCAAGCUAAGGCACAGGUAGUGGCAGAGAGGAGUAGAGGCCCCCCAUGGGGAACACACUGAACUGUUGUGUGUGCCCCAAGUGGGGCUGGCACCGGGGUCGUGUGUGGCCCUGUGAGCCUGAGAUCUGUGAGGCAAUAACUGGGAACACAACGCCAGUAGCACCAGUGCCUGCUGCUGUAUAGCCUACUGAAUUUGCUUUUGAAGCUGUUGAGAGCCUCCAUGUACACCACAUCCAUGACCAAGAGAUUCCAGAAGAUAGAGCUUUGGAGCCAAACCCUUCUGAUGAUCCAAGGGCAAGCACAGUCUUCUUGCAAAAAUCUCAAACAGAUGUUCAAGAAAAGAGAAAGAGCAACGACAUGAACC